This 787-nucleotide ribosomal RNA is filed under the name Penicillium expansum. RNAcentral's name for it is "eukaryotic LSU rRNA". It matches the Rfam family "Eukaryotic large subunit ribosomal RNA", at positions 108 to 913 of the family's 3401-position model. The record is from RNAcentral. Lineage: Eukaryota; Fungi; Ascomycota; Eurotiomycetes; Eurotiales; Aspergillaceae.
CUCAAAUUUGAAAGCUGGCUCCUUCGGGGUCCGCAUUGUAAUUUGCAGAGGAUGCUUCGGGAGCGGUCCCCAUCUAAGUGCCCUGGAACGGGACGUCAUAGAGGGUGAGAAUCCCGUAUGGGAUGGGGUGUCCGCGCCCGUGUGAAGCUCCUUCGACGAGUCGAGUUGUUUGGGAAUGCAGCUCUAAAUGGGUGGUAAAUUUCAUCUAAAGCUAAAUAUUGGCCGGAGACCGAUAGCGCACAAGUAGAGUGAUCGAAAGAUGAAAAGCACUUUGAAAAGAGAGUUAAAAAGCACGUGAAAUUGUUGAAAGGGAAGCGCUUGCGACCAGACUCGCUCGCGGGGUUCAGCCGGCAUUCGUGCCGGUGUACUUCCCCGCGGGCGGGCCAGCGUCGGUUUGGGCGGUCGGUCAAAGGCCCUCGGAAGGUAACGCCCCUAGGGGCGUCUUAUAGCCGAGGGUGCAAUGCGACCUGCCUAGACCGAGGAACGCGCUUCGGCUCGGACGCUGGCAUAAUGGUCGUAAGCGACCCGUCUUGAAACACGGACCAAGGAGUCUAACAUCUACGCGAGUGUUCGGGUGUCAAACCCGUGCGCGAAGUGAAAGCGAACGGAGGUGGGAACCCUUACGGGUGCACCAUCGACCGAUCCUGAAGUCUUCGGAUGGAUUUGAGUAAGAGCGUAGCUGUUGGGACCCGAAAGAUGGUGAACUAUGCCUGAAUAGGGCGAAGCCAGAGGAAACUCUGGUGGAGGCUCGUAGCGGUUCUGACGUGCAAAUCGAUCGUCGAAUUUG